RNAcentral lists this ribosomal RNA (468 nucleotides) under uncultured Pelotomaculum sp. RNAcentral's name for it is "bacterial SSU rRNA". It matches the Rfam family "Bacterial small subunit ribosomal RNA", at positions 917 to 1382 of the family's 1533-position model. The record is from RNAcentral. Lineage: Bacteria; Bacillati; Bacillota; Clostridia; Eubacteriales; Desulfotomaculaceae.
GGGGCCGCACAAGCGGUGGAGCAUGUGGUUUAAUUCGACGCAACGCGAAGAACCUUACCAGGGCUUGACAUCCCCUGACCGCGUAUGAAAGUACGUUUUCACCCUCGGGUGACAGGGAGACAGGUGGUGCAUGGUUGUCGUCAGCUCGUGUCGUGAGAUGUUGGGUUAAGUCCCGCAACGAGCGCAACCCUUACGUUUAGUUGCUAACAGGUGAAGCUGAGCACUCUAGACGAACUGCCGUUGACAAAACGGAGGAAGGUGGGGAUGACGUCAAAUCAUCAUGCCCCUUAUGUUCUGGGCUACACACGUGCUACAAUGGCCGGUACAGACGGACGCAAAGCCGCGAGGUGGAGCAAAUCCUAAAAAGCCGGUCUCAGUUCGGAUUGCAGGCUGCAAUUCGCCUGCAUGAAGUCGGAAUCGCUAGUAAUCGCAGGUCAGCAUACUGCGGUGAAUACGUUCCCGGGCCUU